RNAcentral lists this transfer RNA (73 nucleotides) under Patulibacter medicamentivorans. It matches the Rfam family "tRNA". Rfam says of the family: Transfer RNA (tRNA) molecules are approximately 80 nucleotides in length. Lineage: Bacteria; Bacillati; Actinomycetota; Thermoleophilia; Solirubrobacterales; Patulibacteraceae. The record is from Rfam by way of RNAcentral.
GGGGCUAUAGCUCAGCUGGGAGAGCGCCUGGAUCGCACCCAGGAGGUCGUCGGUUCGAGCCCGACUAGCUCCA